RNAcentral lists this ribosomal RNA (327 nucleotides) under uncultured eukaryote. RNAcentral's name for it is "partial 18S ribosomal RNA". It matches the Rfam family "Eukaryotic small subunit ribosomal RNA", at positions 1470 to 1796 of the family's 1831-position model. The record is from RNAcentral.
CCCUUAGAUGUUCUGGGCCGCACGCGCGCUACACUGACGAAUGCAACGAGCUUAUAACCUUGGCCGAAAGGUCUGGGUAAUCUCCAAAUUUCGUCGUGAUGGGGAUAGAUUAUUGCAAUUAUUAAUCUUCAACGAGGAAUGCCUAGUAAGCGCAAGUCAUCAGCUUGCGUUGAUUACGUCCCUGCCCUUUGUACACACCGCCCGUCGCUCCUACCGAUUGAAUGGCCCGGUGAAGCGUUCGGACCGUGGCCUUUGGACGGUUCGCCGUCUGUUGGCUGCGGGAAGUUCGUUAAACCUUAUCAUUUAGAGGAAGGAGAANUCGUAACA